This 467-nucleotide ribosomal RNA is filed under the name uncultured bacterium. RNAcentral describes it as "bacterial SSU rRNA". It matches the Rfam family "Bacterial small subunit ribosomal RNA", at positions 336 to 795 of the family's 1533-position model. The record is from RNAcentral.
UUCCUACGGGGGGCUGCAGUGGGGAAUUUUGGACAAUGGGCGCAAGCCUGAUCCAGCCAUGCCGCGUGCAGGAUGAAGGCCUUCGGGUUGUAAACUGCUUUUGUACGGAACGAAAAGACUCCUUCUAAUAAAGGGGGUUCAUGACGGUACCGUAAGAAUAAGCACCGGCUAACUACGUGCCAGCAGCCGCGGUAAUACGUAGGGUGCGAGCGUUAAUCGGAAUUACUGGGCGUAAAGCGUGCGCAGGCGGUGAUGUAAGACAGAUGUGAAAUCCCCGGGCUCAACCUGGGAACUGCAUUUGUGACUGCAUCGCUGGAGUGCGGCAGAGGGGGAUGGAAUUCCGCGUGUAGCAGUGAAAUGCGUAGAUAUGCGGAGGAACACCGAUGGCGAAGGCAAUCCCCUGGGCCUGCACUGACGCUCAUGCACGAAAGCGUGGGGAGCAAACAGGAUUAGAUACCCCUGUAGUC